CAGUCGCCACGGGAAUACGAUGGGGGCUAGCGUUGCUCGGAAUGACUGGGCGUAAAAGGUGCGUAGGCGGUUUGAUAAGUCAUCUGUGAAAUCUCUGGGCUCAACCCAGAGUCUGCAGGCGAAACUGUCGGGCUUGAGUAUGGGAGAGGUGAGUGGAAUUUCCGGUGUAGCGGUGAAAUGCGUAGAUAUCGGAAGGAACACCUGUGGCGAAAGCGGCUCACUGGACCAUUUCUGACGCUGAUGCACGAAAGCUAGGGGAGCAAACAGGAUUAGAUACCCCCGUAGUCCCUGUCUCUUAUAC
This 301-nucleotide ribosomal RNA is filed under the name uncultured bacterium. Its description in RNAcentral is "partial 16S ribosomal RNA". It matches the Rfam family "Bacterial small subunit ribosomal RNA", at positions 509 to 807 of the family's 1533-position model. The record is from RNAcentral.